RNAcentral lists this ribosomal RNA (465 nucleotides) under Vreelandella stevensii. Its description in RNAcentral is "partial 16S ribosomal RNA". It matches the Rfam family "Bacterial small subunit ribosomal RNA", at positions 338 to 795 of the family's 1533-position model. The record is from RNAcentral. Lineage: Bacteria; Pseudomonadati; Pseudomonadota; Gammaproteobacteria; Oceanospirillales; Halomonadaceae.
CCUACGGGAGGCAGCAGUGGGGAAUAUUGGACAAUGGGCGAAAGCCUGAUCCAGCCAUGCCGCGUGUGUGAAGAAGGCCUUCGGGUUGUAAAGCACUUUCAGUGGGGAAGAAAGCCUUGGGGCUAAUACCCUCGAGGAAGGACAUCACCAACAGAAGAAGCACCGGCUAACUCCGUGCCAGCAGCCGCGGUAAUACGGAGGGUGCGAGCGUUAAUCGGAAUUACUGGGCGGAAAGCGCGCGUAGGCGGUCUGAUAAGCCGGUUGUGAAAGCCCCGGGCUCAACCUGGGAACGGCAUCCGGAACUGUCAGGCUAGAGUGCAGGAGAGGAAGGUAGAAUUCCCGGUGUAGCAGUGAAAUGCGUAGAGAUCGGGAGGAAUACCAGUGGCGAAGGCGGCCUUCUGGACUGACACUGACGCUGAGGUGCGAAAGCGUGGGUAGCAAACAGGAUUAGAUACCCUGGUAGUC